GAUAAACGCUGGCGGCGUGCUUAACACAUGCAAGUCGAACGAAGUUUUUCUUUCUUGGUAGACUUCUUGACUGACGGGUGAGUAACUCGUGGGUAACCUGCCCUCUCUAGAGUGACAACAGCUUUCAACGGCUUCUAAUUCCGCCUAAGCACUUAGCACUGCAUCGUGCAUAGGGUAAAGGAGCAAUCCGGUACAGGAUUGACCCGCCUCUGAUUCGCCUGUUGGCAGGGUAACUGCCUAGCAAAGCGACGAUCAGUAGCCGAUCGGAGAGGAUGUACGGGCAGAAUGGGAAUGAGACACGGACCAGAAUCCGAGGGAAGGGAGGAGAGGGGAAUAUAGCACAAUGGAGGAAACUCUGAUGAAGCGACGCCGGGUGAGAGAAGAAGUAGUUCGGUAAGUAAAGCUGUAUCAGAAGAGAAGAAAAUGACGGUACCUGAUUAAGAAGCACCGGCUAAAUACGUG
Molecule: ribosomal RNA, 462 nt
Filed under: uncultured bacterium
Lineage: Bacteria
Description: partial 16S ribosomal RNA
Rfam family: Bacterial small subunit ribosomal RNA
Source: RNAcentral